Molecule: ribosomal RNA, 263 nt
Filed under: uncultured bacterium
Lineage: Bacteria
Description: partial 16S ribosomal RNA
Rfam family: Bacterial small subunit ribosomal RNA
Source: RNAcentral
GUCCACGCCGUAAACGAUGUCUGCUAGCCGUCGGGGUCCUUGAGGCCUCGGUGGCGCAGCUAACGCGAUAAGCAGACCGCCUGGGGAGUACGGCCGCAAUGUUAAAACUCAAAUGAAUUGACGGGGGCCCGCACAAGCGGUGGAGCAUGUGGUUUAAUUCGAUGCAACGCGAAGAACCUUACCAGGUCUUGACAUCCAGCGAACUGCCGAGAGAUCGGCGUGUGCCUUCGGGAGCGCUGAGACAGGUGCUGCAUGGCUGUCGU